RNAcentral lists this ribosomal RNA (722 nucleotides) under uncultured Fusobacterium sp. RNAcentral's name for it is "bacterial SSU rRNA". It matches the Rfam family "Bacterial small subunit ribosomal RNA", at positions 28 to 776 of the family's 1533-position model. Lineage: Bacteria; Fusobacteriati; Fusobacteriota; Fusobacteriia; Fusobacteriales; Fusobacteriaceae. The record is from RNAcentral.
GAUGAGCGCUGACAGAAUGCUUAACACAUGCAAGUCAACUUGAACUUCGGUUUGGGUGGCGGACGGGUGAGUAACGCGUAAAGAACUUGCCUCACAGAUAGGGACAACAUUUGGAAACGAAUGCUAAUACCUGAUAUUAUGAUUUUAGGGCAUCCUAGAAUUAUGAAAGCUAUAUGCGCUGUGAGAGAGCUUUGCGUCCCAUUAGCUAGUUGGAGAGGUAACGGCUCACCAAGGCGAUGAUGGGUAGCCGGCCUGAGAGGGUGAUCGGCCACAAGGGGACUGAGACACGGCCCUUACUCCUACGGGAGGCAGCAGUGGGGAAUAUUGGACAAUGGACCAAGAGUCUGAUCCAGCAAUUCUGUGUGCACGAUGAAGUUUUUCGGAAUGUAAAGUGCUUUCAGUUGGGAAGAAAAAAAUGACGGUACCAACAGAAGAAGUGACGGCUAAAUACGUGCCAGCAGCCGCGGUAAUACGUAUGUCACAAGCGUUAUCCGGAUUUAUUGGGCGUAAAGCGCGUCUAGGUGGUUAUAUAAGUCUGAUGUGAAAAUGCAGGGCUCAACUCUGUAUUGCGUUGGAAACUGUGUAACUAGAGUACUGGAGAGGUAAGCGGAACUACAAGUGUAGAGGUGAAAUUCGUAGAUAUUUGUAGGAAUGCCGAUGGGGAAGCCAGCUUACUGGACAGAUACUGACGCUGAAGCGCGAAAGCGUGGGUAGCAAACAGG